GUGAGUCAUCGAAUCUUUGAACGCAUCUUGCGCCCUUUGGUAUUCCGAAGGGCAUGCCUGUUUGAGUGUCAUUAAAUUCUCAACUUCAAAAACUUGUUUUUUUUGAUAGCUUGGAUGUUGGAGGCUUGCAGGCAUUUUUGUCAGCUCCUCUCAAAUGCAUUAGCAGAACUUUUAAAUCGGCUUUGGUUUGAUAAUCCUAUCUAUGCCAUCGCUGGUUGUAGCUCAGCUUAUAAUUGUCUUCGGACUGUCUCGCAUGAGGCAUUAUUUAAACUUGACCUCAAAUCAGGUAGGACUACCCGCUGAACUUAAGCAUAUCAAUAAGCGGAGG
RNAcentral lists this ribosomal RNA (328 nucleotides) under uncultured fungus. RNAcentral describes it as "eukaryotic LSU rRNA". The stretch from base 1 to 71 matches the Rfam family "5.8S ribosomal RNA", at positions 84 to 154 of the family's 154-position model. The record is from RNAcentral. Lineage: Eukaryota; Fungi.